UACGUAGGGGGCAAGCGUUGUCCGGAUUUAUUGGGCGUAAAGAGCGUGUAGGCGGCUUGACAGGUCUGCUGUGAAAACUCGAGGCUCAACCUCGAGAUGUCGGCGGAAACCGUCUGGCUAGAGUCCGGAAGAGGAGAGUGGAAUUCCUGGUGUAGCGGUGAAAUGCGCAGAUAUCAGGAAGAACACCCGUGGCGAAGGCGGGAUCCUGGGCCAGUACUGACGCUGAGGAGCGAAAGCGUGGGGAGCAAACAGG
RNAcentral lists this ribosomal RNA (253 nucleotides) under uncultured bacterium. RNAcentral describes it as "partial 16S ribosomal RNA". It matches the Rfam family "Bacterial small subunit ribosomal RNA", at positions 524 to 776 of the family's 1533-position model. The record is from RNAcentral.